UAGAGGUCCAACACAUAAGGAUAUAGAACUCACAUUUAACUUCCGCUACUCAUAAUGCCUCUUUUAUUGAAUGAUUUCUCCAACAAGCUUUUAGUACCAAAAUUUAAUCUUUCCCAUCAUAGUUUUAAUAACUUCCUAAGAGCCAAUAUAUGGUAUUCUCAUUUUUUCCCUUUUUCCAAAUUUUAGGAAAACUCAAUUAUUUUCCAAUUUGAAGUUCAAGAUACUAUUCAUAUUCUCCAAAACUUCGUCUCACGUCUUGAUUUGAACAAUUCUCUAAUCAAAUCUUCUUCUUCUUAUUUUUUUUCCAUAACAA
This 313-nucleotide long non-coding RNA is filed under the name Olea europaea (common olive). RNAcentral describes it as "long non-coding RNA (OEUR_LNC002290)". The record is from RNAcentral. Lineage: Eukaryota; Viridiplantae; Streptophyta; Magnoliopsida; Lamiales; Oleaceae.